AUGCAUCUCUGACAGACCUGAAGCAGUUAAUGUCUGCUGCUAAGGUUUCCACUACUACAGAUGCAAGAAAAAGAAGGUCCUCCUGCUUUCUGUCAGUCUGGUUUUUAGCAGCCAAGAUUGAAUGGGGGAAUACAAAA
Molecule: small nucleolar RNA, 137 nt
Filed under: Dasypus novemcinctus (nine-banded armadillo)
Lineage: Eukaryota; Metazoa; Chordata; Mammalia; Cingulata; Dasypodidae
Description: Small nucleolar RNA SNORA31 (ENSDNOG00000029683.1)
Rfam family: Small nucleolar RNA SNORA31
About the family: ACA31 (SNORA31) belongs to the H/ACA class of snoRNAs which are thought to guide the sites of modification of uridines to pseudouridines. ACA31 is predicted to guide the pseudouridylation of U3713 in 28S rRNA and U218 in 18S rRNA.
Source: RNAcentral